CCCUUAGAUGUUCUGGGCAGCACGCGCGCUACAAUGGUCUUCGCAAACGGAUGCAUUCUCGAAGGAGAAUGCCAAUCUUGGAAUCUAUGCCUUGGUCGGGACAGUUGCUUGCAAUUUUUCGACUCGAACCAGGAAUUCCUUGUAAUCGUGAUUCAUCACAUCACGAUGAAUACGUCCCUGCCCUUGGUACACACCGCCCGUCGCUCCUACCGAUCGAAGAGUUAGGUGAAUUGUUUUGAUCGAUAAGAUUUGACUAUGGUCAACUCUCGUUGUGAAAUUCUGUGAAUCUGACUGUUUAGAGGAAGGAAAAGUCGUAACA
This 319-nucleotide ribosomal RNA is filed under the name uncultured eukaryote. RNAcentral's name for it is "partial 18S ribosomal RNA". It matches the Rfam family "Eukaryotic small subunit ribosomal RNA", at positions 1470 to 1796 of the family's 1831-position model. The record is from RNAcentral.